This 253-nucleotide ribosomal RNA is filed under the name uncultured bacterium. RNAcentral describes it as "partial 16S ribosomal RNA". It matches the Rfam family "Bacterial small subunit ribosomal RNA", at positions 524 to 776 of the family's 1533-position model. The record is from RNAcentral.
UACGGAGGGGGCGAGCGUUGUUCGGAAUCACUGGGCGUAAAGCGUGCGUAGGCGGUUAUACAAGUCAGAAGUGAAAUCCCAGGGCUUAACCCUGGAAUUGCUUUUGAGACUGUAUGACUAGAGAUCUAGAGAGGUUGGGGGAAUUCCGAGUGUAGAGGUGAAAUUCGCAGAUAUUCGGAGGAACACCAGUGGCGUAGGCGCCCAACUGGCUAGAUACUGACGCUGAGGCACGAAAGCGUGGGGAGCAAACAGG